UUGAGACCUAACACUUGUAUGCUAACAAAAGAAAACCAAUGCCGAACCUUUCCAAUAAACGAUUGAAUAGCCUUUCUUUACUCCAACAGCCCUACAAAAGCCACUAGCAUUUCCUAACAAUAAAGAAAGCACCAAAGCACAUUAAAUCCAUUACAACCUGGACUUCGAGAUCUGGUAUUAUAGGCUAGAAGUUCAGCCAAUCUUUAUAACAGUUUCUCUAACAGACCUAACAUAAAGAUGCUUUCACAUAGUCCUAGCUCCUGUUGCUAUUAAGACACCUGGGGGGCUUCACUGUGAGCCUGAAACAAAUUGAGACAAAAUAAGCUCCUACAUCUCUGCCUUAGUACAGAGUUCCACAGAUAUUCACAGGGAGGGAAGCUGCUUUGCUCUUUGACACUAUCCCAGUCCUUGAGAUAUCUGAAUGGAAAGUGGAAGAGUCUAUCACUAGGUAACAAUCCAGCAACAAAGAGCUGAGCUGCAGCCUGAUCUGUCUCAUCCACCCAUGGAAGGGAAGAUCCAGCCACAUCCCAGUAGCAGUUUUCAUUCCCUUUUCUGAGAUUGCUUCCAAGAUUACUGGUGAAAACAGCAAUAGCGCCCAAGGAGGUGACAGCUUCUGACUUUUACUACUCCUCACUCCAUGAGCUACUUACUCACCAAGAUAUUUCUGCCCUCCUUCCCUCAGGACAAUGUCGGCUGUGAGGCUUCAGGAAGCAGAGCAGACAGCUGAAUCAGUCCAAGCCUGUGUUGGCAGCCCAGAGAAAACUAAGCAGAGGCUUCAGACAGAAGCGGAGAACCUCACUCAACCUGGAAAAGCCAAGAAAGCCAGCCAUUCAAGAAUGCAUCCAGCACAAGCCUGAUGAGCAAGAUCUGGUGCUGGAGUCUUUCUGUUAACUCACGGAUCCCUUAUUUCCCAGUAUUUUAAGAUCUCUCUAUCAAAUGUCACAGUAAUCUGUAUGGCCAUGAGAAGCAAGGCUAAGAUUUAUCACCUCAUGAAUAAACCUAGACGAGAGCCGCAGCAAAUUCCUAGGAGCACUCAGCAUGCUUCUUGUAAACUCAUUAACUGUCUUCCAGAAACAAGAGUGCAGCUGAAGCAAAAGCCCUCCCUAACUGCAAGGCAAGGCCAACGCCGCUUGUGCUGCUGAGGACAAGAAGCAGAGAGCCUUUGAUAAGAUGCUGGCAGAAUGGCAACAAAAAAUAUGAAGAGCUGCAGGUGGAAGUGAAUAUUUCACAGAAGGAAUGUACAUUGACUGGAAAUUCUGAGCUUAAGAGUGUCUGUGAAAAACCCUUGGAGCAUCUGGAAUCUGUGAAGAAAGAACAUGGCCCUUCAUGGUAAGUACUGGCUUGACAUUAAAAACCUUUGUAAAUCAUUGGCCAUUUGAUUCCUACUUAGCUAUUCCUUAACCUCCUGUGGUAUCUUCUAGCACCAAUUCCAGUUUUCUUAUUUCUAGCAGUGCUUUCAUGCUCUGGGAACAUACAUUAGAAGCGCUGAAGUCACAGGUUAGAUUCUGCUCUUGGGACUGGGUCUGCAUUCACCCCGACACCCAGUUCACCCAAGAUACUAACAGUUGCCUGUGUACUGCCUCCAGGAACUGACUCUUGGGAUAACAUUUGGAAAGAUCCUUUCUGAACCCCCAAAGCACGAUCACGAUAGCAGCUUGAUUGUACUCACUCUUAUACUAGGAGGUCAUCACUCUCAUCACUCCAAGCUGGGCCAUGUAUCAUCACUAGAGCGCUACGUAAGGUGAUAAUAAACAGGUUACAUCGUUAGACUUAAAUCCGAAA
Long non-coding RNA from Anser brachyrhynchus (Pink-footed goose), 1782 nucleotides. NCBI's taxonomy places the organism in Eukaryota, Metazoa, Chordata, Aves, Anseriformes, Anatidae. The record is from Ensembl.